GGACUACAGGGGUUUCUAAUCCUGUUUGCUCCCCACGCUUUCGAGCCUCAACGUCAGUACACAGUCCAGUAAGCCGCCUUCGCCGCCGGUGUUCCUCCUGAUAUCUACGCAUUUCACCGCUACACCAGGAAUUCCGCUUACCUCUCCUGCACUCCAGCACAACAGUUUCCAUAGCACAUCAUGGGUUGAGCCCAUGCAUUUCACUACAGACUUAAUGUGCAGUCUGCGCUCCCUUUACACCCAGUAAAUCCGGAUAACGCUUGCCCCCUACGUAUUACCGCGGCUGCUGGCAC
Molecule: ribosomal RNA, 293 nt
Filed under: uncultured bacterium
Lineage: Bacteria
Description: partial 16S ribosomal RNA
Source: RNAcentral